Molecule: ribosomal RNA, 1474 nt
Filed under: metagenome
Description: bacterial SSU rRNA
Rfam family: Bacterial small subunit ribosomal RNA
Source: RNAcentral
AGAGUUUGAUCAUGGCUCAGGACGAACGCUGGCGGCGUGCCUAACACAUGCAAGUCGAACGGGGUGAGGCCCUUCGGGACCUUUACCUAGUGGCGAACGGGUGAGUAACGCGUGAGGAACCUGCCUUUCAGUGGGGGACAACAGUUGGAAACGACUGCUAAUACCGCAUGAAGCUUUUGGGAGACAUCUCCUGGAAGCCAAAGCUUAAUGUGCUGAAAGAUGGCCUCGCGUCUGAUUAGCUAGUUGGUGGGGUAACGGCCCACCAAGGCGACGAUCAGUAGCCGGUCUGAGAGGAUGAACGGCCACAUUGGGACUGAGAUACGGCCCAGACUCCUACGGGAGGCAGCAGUGGGGAAUAUUGGGCAAUGGGCGAAAGCCUGACCCAGCAACGCCGCGUGAAGGAAGAAGGCCUUCGGGUUGUAAACUUCUUUUACCAGGGACGAAGGACGUGACGGUACCUGGAGAAAAGGCAACGGCUAACUACGUGCCAGCAGCCGCGGUAAUACGUAGGUUGCAAGCGUUGUCCGGAUUUACUGGGUGUAAAGGGCGUGUAGGCGGAGAUGCAAGUUAGGAGUGAAAUCUAUGGGCUCAACCCAUAAACUGCUUCUAAAACUGUAUCCCUUGAGUAUCGGAGAGGCAAGCGGAAUUCCUAGUGUAGCGGUGAAAUGCGUAGAUAUUAGGAGGAACACCAGUGGCGAAGGCGGCUUGCUGGACGACAACUGACGCUGAGGCGCGAAAGCGUGGGGAGCAAACAGGAUUAGAUACCCUGGUAGUCCACGCUGUAAACGAUGAAUACUAGGUGUGGGGGGACUGACCCCCUCCGUGCCGCAGUUAACACAAUAAGUAUUCCACCUGGGGAGUACGACCGCAAGGUUGAAACUCAAAGGAAUUGACGGGGGCCCGCACAAGCAGUGGAUUAUGUGGUUUAAUUCGACGCAACGCGAAGAACCUUACCAGGACUUGACAUCCAACUAACGAAGUAGAGAUACAUCAGGUGCCCUUCGGGGAAAGUUGAGACAGGUGGUGCAUGGUUGUCGUCAGCUCGUGUCGUGAGAUGUUGGGUUAAGUCCCGCAACGAGCGCAACCCCUAUUGUUAGUUGCUACGAAAGAGCACUAUAGCGAGACUGCCGUUGACAAAACGGAGGAAGGCGGGGACGACGUCAAAUCAUCAUGCCCCUUAUGUCCUGGGCUACACACGUAAUACAAUGGUGGCCAACAGAGGGAAGCGAAGCCGUGAGGCAGAGCAAAUCCCUAAAAGCCAUCUCAGUUCGGAUUGCAGGCUGCAACUCGCCUGCAUGAAGCUGGAAUUGCUAGUAAUCGCGGAUCAGCAUGCCGCGGUGAAUACGUUCCCGGGCCUUGUACACACCGCCCGUCACACCAUGAGAGUCGGGAACACCCGAAGUCCGUAGUCUAACCGCAAGGGGGGCGCGGCCGAAGGUGGGUCCGGUAAUUGGGGUGAAGUCGUAACAAGGUA